GCUCAGGAUGAACGCUAGCUACAGGCUUAACACAUGCAAGUCGAGGGGUAGCAGGGUAGCAAUACCGCUGACGACCGGCGCACGGGUGAGUAACACGUAUCCAACCUUCCCAUAACUCGGGGAUAGCCUUUCGAAAGAAAGAUUAAUACCCGAUAGUACUUUAUUAAGGCAUCUUAAGAAAGUUAAAGAUUUAUUGGUUAUGGAUGGGGAUGCGUCCCAUUAGAUAGUUGGUGAGGUAACGGCUCACCAAGUCUUCGAUGGAUAGGGGUUCUGAGAGGAAGGUCCCCCACAUUGGUACUGAGACACGGACCAAACUCCUACGGGAGGCAGCAGUGAGGAAUAUUGGUCAAUGGGCGAGAGCCUGAACCAGC
This 371-nucleotide ribosomal RNA is filed under the name uncultured Bacteroidales bacterium. Its description in RNAcentral is "bacterial SSU rRNA". It matches the Rfam family "Bacterial small subunit ribosomal RNA", at positions 22 to 392 of the family's 1533-position model. Lineage: Bacteria; Pseudomonadati; Bacteroidota; Bacteroidia; Bacteroidales. The record is from RNAcentral.